UAUUUAUGUGAGCAUUUUUUUAAUUAUUCAAUUCAAAUUAGAUUAUUCAAAUUACAGGAGAUGGAGGAGGUUAAUUAUACAUUGUUUUCUUGGUUUUAUAACUUUUUGUAUCCAGUUAGUGCAGUUUAUUUCAAUUUUCCAUGAUAACAAGCUAGCUACCAGUUCGAGUGUGCACCUUUCGCCGCCAACGCUAUCUCAAAUUGUUUUUACUUUUUGUUGAACCCUUUUCAUUCUCUGGGGCACACGGAAAAGGUGCGAAUUAAAACCGAGGUCGACUGCCUGAGAUCAGUUUCAUGAAGAAAGAUGAAAAGGUGAUGGCGUUCAAUACCAAUUGCUAUCAAAAGUAUAGCUGGUUAACAGGGAGCCUUUCAUCAAUCCGUCUGUAUUUUUGCUUUUUGGGAAUUCUGAGCCUUGGGCGAUAGCAGGGUACAGUGCCCUGAAGAACAUUGAUCAUUCAGCUAAAUGGCAAAACAAAAGCAGAGAGCAUAACGUUAUAAGAUUCAAGCUUCUGGGAAAAAGCCGCAUCGAUCAUGACGAAGAUCUGCGUAUUCAGAAUGCGCAACACAACUAGAAAGUAAGAAGAAACAGGGAUAUUCUCAAGCGGUUUAUCAACACCACUGUGUUUUUGUGCAUGCAAAAAUUAGGAGGGCACAACGAGAGGGAAUGUUCCGCUAACUAACAAGUGCAACCACAAGGAGCUUGUAGCAGUAAUUGCACGUUUCGAUGCCUUACUUGCUGAACAUAUGGAACUUUCAGUCUUUUCUGGGAUCAUUCAGAGAGAGGUUGACGCAGGGCGCUCAAAAGUGACCACUCCACUCCACUGCGAUUGUCAACUCAUGUUUGUCAACUCAUGUUUGUCAUGAUUGUCAACUCAUGUUCCCACUCAUCCACUGUUACAUUUAAUGAUUCUUCUCCAACCACUUCAAAUCCUGUCCCGCACAGAAGUCAAGUCACUGAAAACCUCAAUUCAUGCCUUAUACCCUCAUUCAAUCACUGCUGUGAUCCCUUCCCAAAACGGUGUAUGUAGCCCUCUCAUUCCCCAUAAUAUUGUACAAUAAAUGUCUUUACUAAAUUCUUUAGGUUAAAACAAUUACUCUGGCGAUUUUUGAAACACGCUUUGACGUCUCCGUGUGUCUAUAACGUGGGUUUCCUCCGUUUUUCAAGUCUCCAGCCUCCACUGAUCACAGUGGUAGCUGUGCCACUAGAGAUCCUUGUUCGAGUCCAGGCUCAGUCGAAAAAGGAAUAAGAAAAUACAAUAGU
This is a long non-coding RNA of Oncorhynchus gorbuscha (pink salmon), 1260 nucleotides long. RefSeq lists it as uncharacterized. NCBI's taxonomy places the organism in Eukaryota, Metazoa, Chordata, Actinopteri, Salmoniformes, Salmonidae. The record is from RefSeq and is a predicted model, not a curated record. The transcript is spliced from 3 exons.